UACGUAGGUGGCAAGCGUUGUCCGGAAUUAUUGGGCGUAAAGCGCGCGCAGGUGGUUCCUUAAGUCUGAUGUGAAAGCCCACGGCUCAACCGUGGAGGGUCAUUGGAAACUGGGGAACUUGAGUGCAGAAGAGGAAGGUGGAAUUCCAAGUGUAGCGGUGAAAUGCGUAGAGAUUUGGAGGAACACCAGUGGCGAAGGCGACUUUCUGGUCUGUAACUGACACUGAGGCGCGAAAGCGUGGGGAGCAAACAGG
Molecule: ribosomal RNA, 253 nt
Filed under: uncultured bacterium
Lineage: Bacteria
Description: partial 16S ribosomal RNA
Rfam family: Bacterial small subunit ribosomal RNA
Source: RNAcentral